This 20-nucleotide ribosomal RNA is filed under the name Tylenchulus semipenetrans. RNAcentral describes it as "partial 28S ribosomal RNA". Lineage: Eukaryota; Metazoa; Nematoda; Chromadorea; Rhabditida; Tylenchulidae. The record is from RNAcentral.
GACCUGAACUCAGUCGAGAU